RNAcentral lists this ribosomal RNA (429 nucleotides) under uncultured bacterium. RNAcentral describes it as "bacterial SSU rRNA". It matches the Rfam family "Bacterial small subunit ribosomal RNA", at positions 355 to 801 of the family's 1533-position model. The record is from RNAcentral.
UCGGGAAUUUUGGGCAAUGGGGGAAACCCUGACCCAGCAACGCCGCGUGAAGGAUGAAGUAUUUCGGUAUGUAAACUUCGAAAGAAUAGGAAGAAUAAAUGACGGUACUAUUUAUAAGGUCCGGCUAACUACGUGCCAGCAGCCGCGGUAAUACGUAGGGACCAAGCGUUGUUCGGAUUUACUGGGCGUAAAGGGCGCGUAGGCGGCAUGACAAGUCACUUGUGAAAUCUCUGGGCUUAACCCAGAACGGCCAAGUGAUACUGUCGCGCUAGAGUGCAGAAGGGGCAAUCGGAAUUCUUGGUGUAGCGGUGAAAUGCGUAGAUAUCAAGAGGAACACCUGAGGUGAAGACGGGUUGCUGGGCUGACACUGACGCUGAGGCGCGAAAGCCAGGGGAGCAAACGGGAUUAGAUACCCUUGUAGUCCCUGAG